Molecule: long non-coding RNA, 1505 nt
Filed under: Homo sapiens (human)
Lineage: Eukaryota; Metazoa; Chordata; Mammalia; Primates; Hominidae
Description: HSALNT0352607
Source: RNAcentral
UCAAAUUUGGGAAACUGUAAGCAGCAUGACAUGUUUAGAGUGCAGGAUAAGAAUGUCUGCAGGAGUGAAGUGUUCAUAAUCAGGAGAUUAUGCGUGUUCUAUAAUCAGGAGAUUGUGCAUGUUGUAUAAUCAGGAGACGGAAUCUCCUGCAGGCAUUCAAAGCCCACUAACCCAUUUUAAACAAGGGAAGAAAAUGCGUGACUUUCUGCUUUAGAACAACUGCCCUUGGGACAGUACAGAAGAGGAAAUGAAGAAGAGGAAGUCUAGAGGAAGUGGGAACAGUUUAUUGACUAUUACAAUAGUCCAAGCAAAAGAUAAUGAGAACAUAAAGUAGAAAAGGAAAUGUAGGAAUGGAGAAGAAAUAACAAUUUAAAAACAUUUAAGGGAUCCUUCUAACAAAACCCAGUGAUUAGUGGUACAUCUGGAAUGAGGGAUUAUUCCAAGGUUUAUUAUUUAGAUAAUAGGUGACUCAUGCAGAGACUAAACACAGGAAAAACAAUUUUCAGGAAAAAUUAGAAAAGUUGCUAUUUAUACAUGUUAAAUUUGAGUUGUCUAUAACAGAUCUGUCUACUGAUAACAAUUUGGCUAUCGAACUCAGGAGUAAAAUUUUGUCUAAAGAUAAAAGAUGAAAAUUAGAAGUGCCUAAAACUGACAACGGGUCUGGUAUCUAGAUCAUCCAAGGAACUUCCGCAAAUUCAUCAGACUAAAAAGAAGAACCCUAAAUAGAAAAAAAAAAAUGGUCAAAGGACAGGAAUAGGCAAUUAAUAGAAAAGGAAACUCCCAAAUUUCUCAAGCAUAUGAAGAGAUGCUUAAGCUCAUUAGUAAUGUGAGACAUGAAAAAUUAAAAUUGCAAUGGUAUGUUACUCUCUAUCUAGUCUACUGGAUAAAAAUUAGAAAGUUAGACAACAUGAAGUGUUGGCCUGGAUUUGAAGAUGCAGGAAUUUAGAGACUGGUUGGAGAAGCAGGCAAGAGAUGGGCAUUCUGGAGUGCAAUCUGACAGUAUUUGGUUAAAAUUGACUAAAUUAAGUAUAGACACCCCCUCUGGCCCAAUAAUUCUGCUUCUGAAUACACGUGUUGAAGAGAUUCUCACACAUAUCCACAGGGUGCCUGUGCAGCAGUAUUCACUGUGAUAGGAAGUGAGAAGCAGUCUGAGUGUUCAUUGCUGAGGGAAUCAAGGGCAAAAUAUCAUGGAUGCACUCAUGGACAAAUAAGCAGCAGUUUGAAGCAACAACCUAGAUGGAUGUACAGCCAUCAAGAGGAUCUUAAAGUGUGGUCUUUAGUGGAAAAAAAGGUUACAUUUGAACAUAUUUAUCUGCUAAAGCAAAAUAAUUCCCAUCAUUCUAUAGCAGAAGCAAUGUAUGGGAGACUGAGUAAUUACAUAUAAGCUCACAUCACUAUCUCUUCCACCACUGUCAUCCAUCAUGACUGAUCUGGGAGAUGAAACAGCACAGAUCUAAAGGACGUGGCUGGAGUGCAAUGGCAUGGUAUCGGCUCACUGCAACCUC